UACUGUCUACAGGCUUAGCUCUCACAAGUUGUGCGAUGAUUAUCCUACUAAUUAUUCUUGUUGUAAUUACUGCGACUGAGGAGCAUUCCACAGUUACAGCUAGAGAUCCGGUAUAUCCUGCACGCGUUUUUGGACAUUCU
Long non-coding RNA from Clupea harengus (Atlantic herring), 140 nucleotides. RefSeq lists it as uncharacterized. The record is from RefSeq and is a predicted model, not a curated record. Lineage: Eukaryota; Metazoa; Chordata; Actinopteri; Clupeiformes; Clupeidae. The transcript has 3 exons.